Carcharodon carcharias (great white shark) is the source of this 3821-nucleotide long non-coding RNA. RefSeq lists it as uncharacterized. NCBI's taxonomy places the organism in Eukaryota, Metazoa, Chordata, Chondrichthyes, Lamniformes, Lamnidae. The record is from RefSeq and is a predicted model, not a curated record. The transcript is spliced from 2 exons.
CCCAACAUUUGAGUUGCAGAGCGCAGCAGAGGGGGGGAUCUGGAAAGUUACAAAUAGUUUAAUUUUACUUUGUUUUUUUUACAUAUAUAUAUGUAUAUAGGAUCUGCUCCAGCUUUUGAACUUUAAAUAUCCCGGGGAAUACAGCACAAAGAGUAUAUUUUAAAAAAUCAUUUUUUGAGGUAAUCACCCUGUUCACGGACUGCCUUGCCGAGCACGUUGUUGCAGUAAGUAGACCCCCGCCUUCUGAAUCGGUUACGUUACGACCCUCUAGUCCAUCCUAAUUCUGCUGCUGCCAGUCGAAUUGAAUGCCGAACUUUCAAAGGAAGUGGCCUACAACUCCAGUAACAGCCCAGAAAAAAAUAAAUAUUUUCCUCAAAAUGUACUUUUUCUUAUGCAUCUUUGAGCACUGCAGUUAUUUAAAUUUGAUUGAAGUCAAUGCGUUUUAAGCCUAGUAAGGAAAAAUAAAUCGCAAAGACUCUGUCCCCAAGUCCCAAUAAUACUGUUGCAAAAUGUUUUCCUUGUUUUGAAAGAAAUCGUCUUGUUUCUGUUUCUUAUAAGGCACAAUCAACAGACUGCAUUCAAAAACCUCUGCAAAGUUUUAAUUCUGCAUGGAAUUGUGAAUCCAAACAGGAAAAAGUAAAUUCUACUUCCGAGUAGAUAUUCAGUGAAACUAUGGAAAUGGUUCGCUCUGCUUUAUCACAAUGUACUAAAACUGGAAAUCAUUUCAUUUUUUCAUCAGAUGUAUUGUAUCAGUAUAAGCACAUACCAGGUUUAGAAAGAAGGUUGAAAUUGGUUUAGUCAGAAGCAACGCUCUUUGUUUUUAUAUGGUGCUAAUCGUUAGUUAUUGCAUAGCCACAAAGUAAUUGUACUCCAAAUUUCGAGUUCUAAAAAUCCAAUAAUGCGUGAAUUUUAUAACCUGAUUAGGAUUUUAAAGGAUACUUAUCACAAACUAAGUGAUUAGAAUACAACUAAUAAUAAUAUAAUUUCAGCCUUUAUACUUGUCGGUUAGCGUAGCAAAAUUGCAUAAACCAGUGUCUUGAAAGUACUUUUUUUUAUUUUCAGCUCAAGGUAUUGUUAGCUAACAGCUAUCUGAGUCUAUUGAGGUACUUGUUGUGUCCCCUAACUUGAUUGGUAAAUGCAGGUUUCUGAAGAAACAUUUCAGUUUUUAAAUAGACAACACAGGGAAGGUCAUCCCUCAACAAAUUAUGAUACUACUUAGGACAUUACCACUUUUGCCAUCUGACUGGAGUUAACCAUUUCUUACAUCAUUUAAGCGAUUUAUACUACUUUCAGAAUUAGAUGCAAGCUGAAAUCACAGAACUUGCGUGGGUAGAUUUUUUUGAUGAUGAUCACUUGGUUCACCAGAAAACUCUGAAUUCCUAUUUUAUUUCUCUUAGUACCUAUUACUGGAAUAUUGAUACUUGUGAGAGAGGAAUAUAGUCCUCCAUAGCUGCUUUUUCUUGCUUAACCAUUAUCAGUAAGAAAGGGCGUCCUUUCUUUUUAGCAGAAUGCACACUCUUAUGGUCUGUCGAGAACAAAGCCUCCCCAGCCCCCCUUUUGCAUGUUCAAUGCUUUGCAAAUUUAGAAAGGCUGCAUUGAGUUCGGGAUAGGUCAGGGGGCAGGAGAGGGGUAGAAAGGUCAACACAUUUUGAUUAUGGGUCAGUAGACAAUUGGCAUACAGUCUAUAUGCAAGUAAAAUAGAACAAAUUCCUGAUGGAAAUCCAUCCUGGACGAUUCAAGUCGCAGUUAACAUUUAUUUUUCAACUAACCAAAAUUUUUUUUUUGCUUGCUUUCAUCUAAAAAGAAAAAAAACCUAUUCAGCUUGUGAUGAAUUUGCAGAAAAACCAAACAAUAUGUAAAUAUUCUGCACAACUGAUACAUUUAUAAAGUGUCACUUUUUGCGAUGCUUAAAAUUUAUCACAGAAGUGAUGCUCGUUGUUUUUGUAACACUAUGCCAUUCAGGCAAAUACAAUUACAAUACUUUAUAAGUAAACAGGAUUGGUGAAAACUUAGCUGUCUCUUGAACAAAUAUACAAUAUUAAUCCGCAUUUGGUGCCAUACAGUUCAAAUAGUUCUCCUGUACUAAAUCUCAACCGUCCUUUUUAUCUAUCCUAUAUUAAAAUGUACCUUACUAUUAAUUGUAGAUUAACAGAUCGUUCUGAUGUGAUUAUUGGUUUGCUACAUGUCGGGACUUUUGACUAGAGAUAUAAAAGUCUCAUUAAUUCGAUAAAUUGUGUCAUUAAAACGUCUGCUUUUCCAUCUUAUCGAUAUGUUAUAUAUUGUGACUGCACAAUCUUGUAAACUGUUUUAUAUGCUAAAUAUCAUACUUUCUAAAGUACAUGUUUUAACGGUGCAACUGAUUGCGUGGUUGUAAAAGUUUAUUUCGACGAAUAAAAGGUUUUUUGAUCAACGAGGGAAGCAAGAAAUAAUUCUGCAAAUGUGUGAGUGUUGUCUCUUUCUGAUAGCGGUGAAUAAAAAUAGACUGGGGCCUCUGACUUAAAAAGACAUGAACCAUCGCACAAUAUGAAGUUAAACAGGCCACUAGGCUUUUAUUUAUUUAGGGGUAAAUUGAUAAAUAAGAUUUGUUGACGAUUGAGAUCGAAGCUGUUGAUAUACAAAUUCAUCCAAACACAGAUGACAGUUGGGGUUUAAAACAAGCACAUUAAGUUCUACUGUCCUUUGUGAUUUAAAAAUAUGUUCGUAAUGUAAUUUAAAUAUAGCAACCGUAUUUAUCUAAUUUUUUUAAAACUACAACAUGAUAUUUUGUGAGUGAAAAUCACAUUUGAUUAUUUACCCUACUACUGGAGUAUCCAUCUCGUUUGACAGUUUUAUUUCUGCAACUAAUUUUUGUUUCCUAUUUAUCCCGACGUACAGAAAAUAUCUUGCAGUAAAUGUGGAUUCUUUUGUAUUUACUGAAUGUUCAAAUAUAGCAAAUUAGUGCCUCAAACUUGUUUUUAUGUUAUUGCUCCAAAUUAUAUUUAUUCACACAAUAAGUUUAAUGUAUCAAAUGGGGAUCGUAUGUAUCUGCGGGAAUCACCUGCUAUUGUAAUUAGAACAAUCAUUGUUGUCCUAUGAAGGAUGUUGCUGUCGCUGGGAUCAAAUCAUUUACAAUGGUCUUAUAUUUGAUUAAAAUGACAGGCAGCCACCUUGCUGUGCUAUCUCGCUGUUAUCAAUUCAGACAUUCAGACGUGUAGUCGUUGGAUAAAAAUACAUAUAAAACCCCUGCGUGCAGUUGUAUGAAUACAUUGGUGUAUUUUCCCUGGUAUUUGAAUCAAGGAUUUUACACCUAUACUUCUAUCAUGUAUCUUGGUAGCUAGUGACCAAAAACAGCUCGCCAUGAUAAUCCAUCCGGAGGCAACCUGUCCGUGUACUUAUGGAAGGGCCUCGAAAAGCUUCUCUUCUGAUUCAACCCCUUGUUCCUAAACAGCUUGGGAUAUACGGCGUUUAGUGAUGUGCAAGAGCGACCUGUCAUUUUCUGUCAAAUAUUGAUGGUGAAAAAAAACUGAUGGCAGAAUUAAACAGCAAAAAAUGGUUGUAUAAAAUGCAAGUAAUGACAGUAAUUGUUCGGUAAUUUUGUGAAUUAUACGCCAAAAUUAUUAAAUAUGCCUUAGUUGUUCUCAUUUUAGCAUAUACAGGAGUUCCCCAAAUGCCUUGCGUGCCCCAAAUGGACGGCCAUUACAUGUUUUGCCCUUAUGGUCCCCAUAAUCCAGUUUUAUACAUUACAUCAGCUGCAUAAAUUUAAAGUGAUUUGAUGAUUAUUCCAUUGUACUGUCUGUGUAGAAUAUUAAAUAAUGGCAAGAGCCAUAUGUGCGUAGAAUUUG